This 667-nucleotide unclassified non-coding RNA is filed under the name Petrosaspongia nigra. Its description in RNAcentral is "sequence contains ITS1, 5.8S rRNA gene, ITS2". The stretch from base 285 to 439 matches the Rfam family "5.8S ribosomal RNA". Lineage: Eukaryota; Metazoa; Porifera; Demospongiae; Dictyoceratida; Thorectidae. The record is from RNAcentral.
CGUAGGUGAACCUGCGGAAGGAUCAUUAUCAAAUCCUAGCCGUCUCCUCCGGGGUGACGGUGAAACACCGUGCACUGGCGACUGGGGAUGGGAGCAAUUUCUGCUCGGUUUGACACGAGGUGUGCACCCGGUGGUCAAUCUCAGGUGAUGCACUUAAAUCAGUGGGAAUCACUUUCAACCGCCUGCUGGGCCUCCACCGAGCGCUCCCGUCCUUGGUUUUUGUUUUUGACCUUCUCAACUUGUUAUGUAGUUUGGUGUGCUACCGUACGUGUUAAAGCAUUGACAACUUCUGACGGUGGAUCUCUUGGCUCGUGCAUCGAUGAAGAACGCAGCAAGCUGCGAUACCUAGUGUGAAUUGCAGAAUUCAGUGAAUCAUCCAGUUUUUGAACGCAAAUGGCGCUCCCGGGGUCUCCUCGGGAGCAGGUCUGUUCGAGCGUCUGCCAACCGAAUCAGUUGUCGCCACGCCGGUGACAAGAGUGAGGAGCUGCAAACGCAAUCGUUCGGUUGCACUGCACUCUUCGAAUAGCAUUGUCUGUGCGAGGCCACAUUGUGACCAGGCGGUCUCUCGGAAGACGGUCGUCACAACGGCAUGACAAGUUGUGCGGUUGUCUCCCGAUGAGGCUGCGUGGUGGGCGAGUGCGGCCCCGUUUGGCAGCAUCAGGAAUCC